This is an RNA transcript of Rosa chinensis, 3582 nucleotides long. It is a transcript of the gene named protein translocase subunit SECA2, chloroplastic, with no coding region annotated. Lineage: Eukaryota; Viridiplantae; Streptophyta; Magnoliopsida; Rosales; Rosaceae. The record is from RefSeq and is a predicted model, not a curated record. The transcript is spliced from 33 exons.
GUUUUUGGUUCUUUCCGUACUGAUCGAGUUCUCGUUCUUCUCUUCUCCGACUUAUUGUUCCAUACAAAUCGUACUCCAUGUCAUAAUCUCCACCCAGCUACAGUUACAGUUCCCGCCAUGGCCUCUACUACUACUACUAGUCUCCAAAUCCCCACUUUCCUCUCCCUCAAACCACUCCCUCAACGCCCCUCCUUCGCCUUCUCCAACCACCCCACCUCCUUCUCUUCCUUCUCCACCUCGUCCUCCUCCCGCCCUCCACGCCGUCGUCUCACUCUCUCUCCCGCCCCCAUUGCCGCCUCUCUCAAGGAAAAUCUGGGCCGGAUUGGAAAGACUUGGAGCGACGUGACUAGCUUGAACAGCUGGGUUGUUCGAGACUACUACCGCCUUGUCAAUUCUGUCAACUCUUUUGAGCCACAGCUACAGAGGCUCACUGAUGACCAGCUUACUGCUAAAACUGCCGAGUUUCGGCGAAGAUUGGGACAAGGAGAGACACUUGCGGAUAUUCAAGCCGAGGCUUUUGCUGUUGUUCGUGAAGCUGCGAAACGGAAGCUUGGUAUGCGUCAUUUUGAUGUUCAGAUUAUUGGUGGGGCGGUGCUUCAUGAUGGGUCCAUUGCAGAAAUGAAGACCGGAGAAGGGAAAACGUUGGUUUCCACAUUAGCAGCAUAUCUUAAUGCCCUGACUGGCGAAGGUGUUCAUGUGGUAACCGUAAAUGAUUACCUUGCUCAAAGGGAUGCUGAGUGGAUGGGUCGUGUUCAUCGCUUCCUAGGUCUUUCAGUGGGUCUUAUUCAGAGAGGGAUGACAGCUGACAAGAGGAGGUCGAACUAUAGAUGUGACAUAACAUACACCAAUAAUUCAGAACUUGGGUUUGACUAUCUACGAGACAAUCUUGCUGGAAACAGUGGAGAACUUGUUAUGAGAUCGCCAAAGCCAUUUCAUUUUGCAAUAGUUGACGAAGUUGACUCAGUUCUUAUUGAUGAAGGAAGAAAUCCAUUGCUAAUUAGUGGCGAGGCUAGUAAAGAUGCUGCUCGCUAUCCUGUUGCUGCUAAAGUGGCUGAGUUGCUUGUGCGAGGAAUUCAUUACAAUGUAGAACUUAAAGAUUACUCAGUUGAGUUGACUGAAGAAGGAAUAGCUCUUGCUGAGAUGGCUCUUGAAACAAAUGACUUAUGGGAUGAAAAUGAUCCCUGGGCCAGAUUUGUGAUGAAUGCGUUGAAAGCUAAAGAGUUCUAUCGGAAGGAUGUGCAAUAUAUUGUCAGAAAUGGGAAGGCUCUCAUAAUCAAUGAGCUCACUGGCAGAGUCGAAGAUAAGAGAAGGUGGUCUGAGGGUAUUCAUCAAGCUGUGGAGGGAAAAGAAGGUUUGAAGAUUCAGGCUGAUUCGGUUGUUAUCGCACAAAUCACAUAUCAAUCUCUGUUCAAGCUCUACCCAAAGCUAUCAGGGAUGACUGGCACUGCAAAAACUGAAGAGAAAGAGUUCUUGAAAAUGUUCCAAACACCAGUUAUUGAAGUACCAACAAAUUUGCCAAACAUUCGUAAUGAUUUACCUAUUCAAGCUUUUGCGACUGCUCAGGGGAAAUGGGAAUAUGUUCGUCAAGAAGUGGAAUACAUGUUCAGGCAGGGGCGUCCUGUUUUGGUUGGCACCACCAGUGUUGAGUAUUCUGAACACCUGUCUGAUCUGUUGAGGGAACAUAACAUCCCACACAAUGUUCUAAAUGCACGGCCCAAGUAUGCUGCAAGGGAGGCUGAAAUUGUUGCCCAAGCUGGACGAAAACAUGCCAUUACUCUUUCUACUAAUAUGGCUGGCAGAGGCACUGACAUAAUCCUAGGGGGGAAUCCUAAAAUGCUUGCAAAAGAAAUCAUAGAAGACAGUUUGAUUUCAUUCCUGACACGAGAAGCUCCUAACAUUGACAUAGAUGGAGAGGCAAUUUCACAAAAGGUAUUGUCAAAGAUUAAGGUCGGUCCAUCAUCAUUAGCUUUGCUGGCUAAGACAGCGUUAAUGGCUAAAUAUGUUGGCAAAAAUGAAGGGAAGAGCUGGACAUAUAAGGAGGCAAAAUCCAUGAUAUCAGAGUCUGUGGAAAUGAGUCAAUCAAGAGAUUUGAAAGAGCUAGAGAGGCUUGUUGAUGAGCAGUCUGAGAUAUACCCUCUUGGCCCUACAAUAGCACUUGCUUAUCUGUCAGUUUUGAAGGAUUGCGAGGUACACUGUUUCAAAGAAGGGUCUGAAGUGAAAAGACUUGGGGGACUUCAUGUGAUUGGAACAUCUUUGCACGAGUCUCGUAGAAUAGAUAACCAGCUUCGUGGCAGAGCAGGAAGGCAAGGUGAUCCAGGAUCAACUCGAUUUAUGGUGAGCUUGCAGGAUGAGAUGUUUCAAAAGUUUAAUUUUGAUACUGAGUGGGCUGUGAGACUUAUUUCAAAAAUUACUGAUGAUGAGGAUGUACCAAUUGAAGGUGAUGCCAUUGUGAGACAGCUCCUGUCCCUGCAAAUUAAUGCUGAAAAGUACUUUUUUGGCAUAAGAAAGAGCCUGGUUGAGUUUGAUGAAGUAUUAGAGGUGCAGAGAAAGCAUGUUUAUGAACUUCGGCAGUCAAUUUUAACUGGUGAUAAUGAAAGUUGUUCCCAGCAUGUAUUCCAGUACAUGCAAGCAGUGGUAGAUGAAAUUGUCUUUAAAAAUGUUCACGCCCUCAAGCAUCCAAGAAAAUGGAGUUUAAAUAAGCUUUUGAAGGAGUUUAUGGCAAUUGCUGGGAAACUAUUGGAUGAUUCAUUUGCAGGAAUUACUGAGGAAGCUUUGUUAGAAUCUCUUGCGCAGUCACAUGAACUGAACUUUAAAGAUAUUGAUGACAUUCACCUUCCAAACUUGCCAAAACCUCCAAAUGCCUUCAGAGGUAUCCGCAAGAAGAACUCUUCAUUGAAACGUUGGCUUGCUAUAUGCUCGGAUGAUUUGACCAAGAAUGCAAAGUACCAUGCUACUACUAACCUCCUCCGCAAGUACCUUGGAGACUAUUUGAUUGCUUCAUAUUUGGAUGUUGUUCAAGACUCUGGUUAUGAUGAUACAUAUGUGAAGGAAGUUGAAAGGGCAGUUAUUGUGAAAACCCUUGAUUGUUUCUGGAGGGAUCACCUUGUAAACAUGAACAGGCUAAGUUCAGCGGUGAAUGUAAGGAGUUUUGGGCACAGGAAUCCUCUUGAAGAAUACAAGAUUGAUGGUUGUCGUUUUUUCAUAUCUAUGCUUAGUGCAACACGAAGGUUGACUGUAGAGUCACUUUUGCAAUAUUGGUCCUCCCCAAUGGAGUCUCAAGAAAUUUUUGUAUCAUGAAGUAUUAGUUAAUCACACAUUUAAAUCUAUGGCUAUAAAGAAUUCAUACUGUGGUUGUAUAGUCAUGGUGAUUGUUUGGAUGGUUGCUUGAAGGAACCAUGGUUUGUAUCUUGGUGGUCUGGUAUGUCAACCAAACUGAUCUUGCCUGGAUUGGACCCGACAAGUGCACUGUUUCAGCGUUUCAUUGAAGAAGGCAGCAGGUUUUUGCUGAGGAACAGAGGAAUUGGAACUGCAAUGAACACCUUGAUUGGAGUGGAGCAAACUAAUUGUCAUCGCAUUUUAUGG